This 497-nucleotide ribosomal RNA is filed under the name uncultured bacterium. RNAcentral describes it as "partial 16S ribosomal RNA". It matches the Rfam family "Bacterial small subunit ribosomal RNA", at positions 28 to 507 of the family's 1533-position model. The record is from RNAcentral.
GACGAACGCUGGCGGCGUGCCUAAUACAUGCAAGUUGAGCGCUGAAGGUUGGUACUUGUACCAACUGGAUGAGCAGCGAACGGGUGAGUAACGCGUGGGGAAUCUGCCUUUGAGCGGGGGACAACAUUUGGAAACGAAUGCUAAUACCGCAUAAAAACUUUAAACACAAGUUUUAAGUUUGAAAGAUGCAAUUGCAUCACUCAAAGAUGAUCCCGCGUUGUAUUAGCUAGUUGGUGAGGUAAAGGCUCACCAAGGCGAUGAUACAUAGCCGACCUGAGAGGGUGAUCGGCCACAUUGGGACUGAGACACGGCCCAAACUCCUACGGGAGGCAGCAGUAGGGAAUCUUCGGCCAUGGACGAAAGUCUGACCGAGCAACGCCGCGUGAGUGAAGAAGGGUUUCGGAUCGUAAAACUCUGUUGGUAGAGAAGAAAGUUGGUGAGAGUGGAAAGCUCAUCAAGUGACGGUAACUACCCAGAAAGGGACGGCUAACUACGUG